GACGAACGCUGGCGGCGUGCCUAAUACAUGCAAGUCGAGCGAAUCAACAGGAGCUUGCUCCUGUUGAUUAGCGGCGGACGGGUGAGUAACACGUGGGCAACCUGCCUGUAAGACUGGGAUAACACCGGGAAACCGGUGCUAAUACCGGAUAAUCUUUUUCCUCUCAUGAGGAAAAACUGAAAGUCGGUUUCGGCUGACACUUACAGAUGGGCCCGCGGCGCAUUAGCUAGUUGGUGAGGUAAUGGCUCACCAAGGCGACGAUGCGUAGCCGACCUGAGAUGGUGAUCGGCCACACUGGGACUGAGACACGGCCCAGACUCCUACGGGAGGCAGCAGUAGGGAAUCUUCCACAAUGGACGAAAGUCUGAUGGAGCAACGCCGCGUGAGCGAUGAAGGCCUUCGGGUCGUAAAGCUCUGUUGUUAGGGAAGAACAAGUACCGGAGUAACUGCCGGUACCUUGACGGUACCUAACCAGAAAGCCACGGCUAACUACGUGCCAGCAGCCGCCGUAA
Molecule: ribosomal RNA, 512 nt
Filed under: uncultured bacterium
Lineage: Bacteria
Description: partial 16S ribosomal RNA
Rfam family: Bacterial small subunit ribosomal RNA
Source: RNAcentral